GGUGGUAAAUUGUCUGUUGCUGCCAAGGCUGAUUUUGGCGAACCAUUGCAUUAAGAAUAACUAAGAUUUUCCGCACACAAGCAGUCACAGCCAGUUUUUUUGAUUUACCGCCUCCGACUAGGCGUUCGUAAAAGGCUUUAAUCACCGGAUUAUGACCCAUAGCUACCACCGCCCCCAUGUAAAGAGUCGCCCGAAUCUGAGCGCGACCUCCCUGAAUCAUCCGCUUACCUUUAUGUUGACCACUAUCAGGAUUAAUCGGCGCAACACCGACUAAGCGAGAGAUUUGUUUGGCGGUUAAUUGACCG
RNAcentral lists this ribosomal RNA (305 nucleotides) under Microcystis sp. M_QC_C_20170808_M9Col. RNAcentral describes it as "partial 23S ribosomal RNA". The record is from RNAcentral. Lineage: Bacteria; Bacillati; Cyanobacteriota; Cyanophyceae; Chroococcales; Microcystaceae.